UACGUAGGGUGCAAGCGUUGUCCGGAAUUAUUGGGCGUAAAGAGCUCGUAGGCGGCUUGUCGCGUCGGCUGUGAAAACCUGGGGCUCAACCCCGGGCCUGCAGCCGAUACGGGCAAGCUAGAAUUCGGUAGGGGAGACUGGAAUUCCGGGUGUAGUGGUGAAAUGCGUAGAGAUCCGGAGGAACCCCAGGGGCGAAGGCGGCGCUCUGGCUCGCAACUGACGCUCAGACACGACAGCAUGGGGAGCGAACGGG
Molecule: ribosomal RNA, 253 nt
Filed under: uncultured bacterium
Lineage: Bacteria
Description: partial 16S ribosomal RNA
Rfam family: Bacterial small subunit ribosomal RNA
Source: RNAcentral